AAGUCGUAACAAGGUUUCCGUAGGUGAACCUGCGGAAGGAUCAUUCAAAAUAUCCUUUAUUUCAUUUGUGUGUAAUAUCGUGUGCGUGUUUUCUCCUUCUAUCUUCGGGGAGAAGAAGGAAACACCGCAUACACACAUAAACCUUUUUUUCUUCAAUUUUUUGGGCGCAUUCUUGGCCGUUCAGUGCCAGCGUCAAUUUUGUCAUUGAAUUUCUUUGAAAAAAAAAAUUCAGAAACAACUUUCAACAACGGAUCUCUUGGCUCUC
Molecule: unclassified non-coding RNA, 265 nt
Filed under: fungal sp.
Lineage: Eukaryota; Fungi
Also listed under: 1 other name
Description: partial internal transcribed spacer region
Rfam family: Eukaryotic small subunit ribosomal RNA (bases 1-46)
Source: RNAcentral